Coffea arabica (coffee) is the source of this 1901-nucleotide non-coding RNA. The record is from RefSeq and is a predicted model, not a curated record. Lineage: Eukaryota; Viridiplantae; Streptophyta; Magnoliopsida; Gentianales; Rubiaceae.
AUGGUUACCAUCUUCCCCAUGCCCUUCCCCUCCAAGUGUGUCAACAACCUCUCUUUCCUCACUAACAUCUCCAGUCCUUUUAAGGCUUGUCGAUCUCUCCUUCCUCCCAUUUCUCUACUCUAGCGUCUUUGAGCUCUCCCCUUUCCGGACUUUAAAAUCCCUGGCGCCUCCAACCCCUCAUCACCCUCCCCCCAGUCCCUGGCACCCCUAGUCUCCUCAUACUCUUCCCCCUUCUUCAUCAACCCAUCUGCCCCCAAAAUCCUUAAUCUCCAAAAACUGACCAAGUAGACCUUACAUUGGAAGGACCCAUCUAUCGGCAGGUUGAAGUUAAAUGGGGUCUUCAGAAGGCAUACAAGCAGCAGCUAGAGUGUACAGAAACCUUCUUAAAGCAGUAAGAAAGCAUAUAGGUAAGGAAGAGCAAAAGGCCCAAUUCUCUGACUUCAUUAAGCAGGAGUUCAGGAAUAGCAGCAGUGGACAACAGUCCGUGGAUCCCUCUUUCAUUCAGCAAAAGAUAAAGCUUGCCCAUGAUUACACUUUCCUUCUGAACAGUGUCCACCAUCAUAAGGACUUGCUAUUUUCCUAUAAUAUUGCAGUUGACAGAUCAGAUGAGAUGAAAAAAAUUCUUGGGAAAUCUGCUGCUAGUGUGGGUCUUCAACUUCCUGAUGUCUAUCAACCUUAAUGGUAAGAUCUCAUCUUAUCAUCUUGGAGAUGCUUUUGCUGUGUUUAAUGUUUAAUUGGUUGUUAAGAUCUUGUCUUAUUUGUAUUAUUUCUAAUUAUCUCUUAGAUGUUUUCUUUGUGGCCUGCAUGUUCCAUAAGUAUGGGUAUUAAAGCUAAUUUAGACUGAGAAGUUGAUGUCUGGGAUUUGCUGUUCCUUGUUUGUCAUCAUCAUCUUCUUAUUCUUAUUUUUCCCCCUCUCUUGGUUUUCCUUCCCUUGCUUUCCUUUCUCAGUAUUGUUGGUUGGUUUCAGAAAUGGCUAUACUUUCAAAGCAAUUUGAGUUAAAAAAUCAUUUGGACAUGGCAUUUGAGCGCAAAGUAUGCUUGAUAACCUCACUGGAUCUGAUGGCCAGUUUUACCUAUUGAAGUUUGGUUUCUCCGGAAGCAUGCAAUAGUUUAAGAGGUUUGGUUCGGUGGAAGUUUCAGGAAGACAAUUCUGUCAUUUAUUCAAGAACUGAGAAGUAGAUAUACCCAUGGUCAAGGUCCUUGUUCCCUCAUCUUGGUACGGGAGUUCAACUUUCACUGACACACCCCUGCUCUUGGAUUUCAGAAAGGCUUUACUUAGUUUUGAACAGAAAAUCUCUGAUGUCAUAAAGGAGAGAACCUUUUUGUGCAGACAAAGUACAGGAUUUGCUUCUUGAAAACUUUGAAACCUUAGAAUUAUUUAUCUUGAUUAAAGCAAACCUCCCUUACUUCUUUUGGCUCUUCAAGUUUUGAAGAGAUGAACACAUAAGCGAGCUGGAAGCUGUUCAAGCCUAAGACAUGAAUUGAUUGGGAGGAUAUAUGAAAUAGUUAAUGAUAUUAUCUACAGUGUCAUGACCCUUGCAAGCGAGAUAUUUUUAGGUACAAGUAUCCCAUAAAAGCACUUUCAAGCAUGGUUUAGCAAUGAUUGGGAGGGUAUAUGUAGGAGGAUUUGCAUGAAAUUUUACCCAACUCCAUAUCUGGAAUAGAAUAUAUGAAAUACGUAUGAACACAGAAAAAAUUAUACAGUGUCAUCAGCCUUGCAAGAGAGACUAAUUUAGGUAUCAUUAAUUCCCACAGGCACUAUAAAGAUAUGUUACUUAAUUGUAAUUCUACAGAAAGGUGCUGUAAAAGUCUAAUUUCAUUUAAAGAUUUUCCUUGGAUGCACUAGCAAAAAGAAAAGCUUUGUAACAGUGGACACUGGAAUGAAAUGACAGUUUCUCGUA